GACGAACGCUGGCGGCGUGCUUAACACAUGCAAGUCGAACGGUGACGAGGAGCUUGCUCCUCCGAUCAGUGGCGAACGGGUGAGUAACACGUGAGUAACCUGCCCCAGACCCUGGGAUAACAGUUGGAAACAGCUGCUAAUACCGGAUACGAGACGGAGAGGCAUCUCUACCGUCUGGAAAGAUUUAUCAGUCUGGGAUGGACUCGCGGCCUAUCAGCUUGUUGGUGAGGUAAAGGCUCACCAAGGCGACGACGGGUAGCCGGCCUGAGAGGGCGACCGGCCACACUGGGACUGAGACACGGCCCAGACUCCUACGGGAGGCAGCAGUGGGGAAUAUUGCACAAUGGGCGAAAGACCUGAUGCAGCGACGCCGCGUGAGGGAUGACGGCC
This 390-nucleotide ribosomal RNA is filed under the name uncultured bacterium. RNAcentral's name for it is "bacterial SSU rRNA". It matches the Rfam family "Bacterial small subunit ribosomal RNA", at positions 28 to 416 of the family's 1533-position model. The record is from RNAcentral.